Molecule: long non-coding RNA, 7660 nt
Filed under: Malus domestica (apple)
Lineage: Eukaryota; Viridiplantae; Streptophyta; Magnoliopsida; Rosales; Rosaceae
Source: RNAcentral
AAGGGUGGAUUGUAACAUCCCACAUCGCCCAAGGGAGUGGAUCCUCUAAGCCUUAUAUGUAUAUUCUCAUCUCUACCUAACACGAGGUUUUUUGGGAACUCACUAGUUUCGGGUUCCAUAGGAACUUCGAAGUUAAGCGAGUUCGUGCAAGAGCAAUCCUAGGAUAGGUGACCCACUAGGAAGUUCUCGUGUGAGUUCCCAGAAACAAAACCGUGAGGGCCUGGUCGGGGCCUAAAGCGGACAAUAUCGUGCUACGAUGGAGUCGAGCCCAGGAUGUGGUGGGGGCUCGAGCCGGGAUGUGACAAUUUGGUAUCAGAGCCAAUCCCUGACCGGAAGUGUGCCGAAAAGGACGUCGGGCCCCUAAGGGGGUGGAUUGUAACAUCUUACAUCGCCCAAGGAAGUGGAUCCUCUAAGCCUUAUAUGUAUAUUCUCAUCUUUACCUAGCACGAGGCCUUUUAGGAGUUCACUAGCUUCGGGUUCCGUAGGAACUUCAAAGUUAAACGAGUUGGUGCGAGAGCAAUCUCAGGAUGGGUGACCCACUGGGAAGUUCUUAUGUGAGUCAUCAGAAACAAAACCGUUAGGUCUUGAUCGGGGCCCAAAACGGAUAAUAUCGUGCUACGAUGGAGUCAAGCUCGGGAUGUGGUGGGGGCCCGGGCGGGGAUGUGAAAAAUAUUGUAUUUGUUUAAACAAAUGAUAAAUAUUUAUAAGAUGGACAUCCAAUGACAGUAGUGCAGCCAAAGGGGUGCAUUAGGAUCCCUUGACCCCAACAAGUUUCUAAGUUUACUCUCAUAAAAAAAAAAUAUUUGAUCCCUAUACCAUCACCAGCAGAUGAAUUAUGGCUAAAUUUAGUGCGUCAUUUGCUGUUUUUUGGUUCCAUCCUUCUAAUACUUUUGGUUCCUAACCCUCUAAUGCUUGGGCUACUUUAUUUGUGCUCUACUUUGAACAAUCACUCAUAUUGGUGCUACGUUUUGUAGUUUUUGGGAGAGGAAUUUGUUACGUAUUUUCGUCUUCUUUGUUUGUUAUUUGUAUGAGUGAGAGCUAUCGGUGUAUGUGGGAUUUGGUUUUGAAAGUUAAACACAAUCUCCAUUUGAUAUAUUUGAGAGCUAUUUUUAAAUGAAAGUAUGAUCGAUUUUUAAACUAUUAUUGACUCCAUCGUUGUAAAUUUAUGGCUCUACCAUUGUUCAAUAAAAAAGCGUCACGUAGAAAAAAAAAAUCAAUUUAUAAUCACCAUUAAAAAGAACUAAAACCGAAAAAAGAAGAAGAGUAUAUUAUAAAGAAAAACAAAAAAGUUAUAAAAAUCCCUCAUGCCCCAUCCCCUACCCGUCCCCAAAAUGCCACACUUUUUUAUACAACCUACUAACUGAACACGAAAAUAAUAAUUUUUUAGUCGAUACAAGUCGUUAUUGGGUUACUGGUAAACAAAUCGGAUCGUUAUCGGGUCAUCCAUUAACAACACAAUAAGAUAUCACUUGCCAGAUCUCUAAAUUAAACACGACAAUUUCUUGUAUAACCCGUUAACCCGACACAAAACAACAUGACCCUUUAACGACAUGGUCCCUUGUUAAAAUUUGUUAAGAUAACAAAUUUGACACGAUACGAUUCGUUAAGAUAAAUAAUAUAUACAAAAAUUCCAACAAAUAGGACAAACAUGACCCUUUUGCCGGGUCUUCCCAUCUCCAUUCCCUUUGAAAUUCAGGGGUAUUGAUUUAAAUAAGGAGAAAAUUUUCAUUGUGGCUAGAACACGAGUGGUACAUCAUGUGUUUUAAUAAAAUUGGUGGGAAAUUUUAUUUUUGAAGUUAUCAACUUUUUAGCACACAUAUUCCACCAUUUUUAUAGUGACACAUGAUAUACCACUCCGUGUACCAAUCAUACUGAAAAAUCUCUCUUAAACAAGGCAUAAAGAAAAUUGAUUCUCGUUAGCGCACCAAUCAAAUGUAUUUGAGCUUUUACAGUCGAACUGGGUACUAGUUAAUACUGACCACGUAACUUUCGUACUCAGCCUGACAUCAUCUGAAUGCUCAUCUUCCCACCAUUUUCCUGCCUAUAAAUAGUGACGAUACUGUUGCAUGCAAGAAUUAAACGAAAGCAGAGAAGAAAUGGAAAAGAGGGUUCAUGUUGUGGUGCUUCCAUAUCAAAGCCAAGGCCACAUCAACCCUCUCCUCCAGUUUGCAAAACGCCUUGCCUCCAAAGGCGUCAAGGCCACGUUGGCAACCACCACUUACACGCUCAACUCCACUCGUGUCCCAAACGUCGGCGUCGAGCCCAUCUCUGAUGGGUUCGACGAGGUCGGCUUUGCUCAAGCCGCAGACGAUGAGGACACUUUCCUUCGGUCAUUCAAAACCAACGGAUCAAGAACCCUAUCACAACUCCUAUAAAAAUGUGAAAGCUCCGAUUUCCUUGUCAGCUGUAUUGUGUACGAUUCGUUUUUGCCGUGGGCUCUUGAUGUGGCCAAGAAACACAGCGUCUAUGGAGCCUCAUUCUUUACCAACUCGAUGACUGUGUGCGUCAUUUUUUCGCAUAUUCAUCGCGGUUUAAUUUCACUGCCGUGUAAGCUCGAGGACAUGCCCUUGUUGGUUCCUGGGGCUUGCCUCCGCUCAACUUACCUGACCUGCCUAGCUUUCUUAAGAAGCCGGAUAAUAACCCGGCUUACUUGAAGAUGAAGCUGAAUCAGUAUCCUAACUUGGACAAGGCUGAUUGGAUCUUUGCAAACACCUUCGAAGCACUCGAAGGCGAGGUACACAAAUACUAGAUAAUUUAACUUAUGUUUCUUGUCAAACGAUAAUGUUAUAUUAUCAUAUUGCCAAAUUUUAUUGUUUUAUCGUUAACGGAAAACAUACGCAUGUUUUCAGAUUAGAGCAACUCAAGCGAAUCAAAGGCCUCCUAGGGCAACUUCCUAUUGAAUCCUCUCCAAUGAACAGUAACUGUCUUUAAUGAACAAUUAUUGUCUUUUGCAUCUCCAUCCCCAAUUGAAUAGCUAUGACAAUAUACAAUAAAAUAUUAGUAUUUUUUAUUUUAUAAAAUAAUACAAAAUAAUUUUAUUUGUAAUUUCAGAUAAGAUUUUUAAUCGUUCUCGUUGCACCACGUGUCAUUAAAUAAGAAACUACAAUCCAAAGUAUUUGAGAAAAUAUAAAAUUAUGGGGUAAGGUGGAAGAUAAUGAUAAGAAAUUUAUAGAAAAUUUAUAGAAAAUUUAAAUCAUUUUUUUUUUAAUUUUAAAAAAAAAUUUCAUAUUUUUUUAUUAAUUUUUUACAUUUCUCUCAGACACUCGGGCUGUUGAUUCCCACCUCCUCUCUCACUCCGGCCUCCCCAAGCCCAAUCGUCCGCAUGGGCUGAAAUAAGGGAGGGAGGCAAUUGCAUUAAAUUGGUCCCCGGUCCAUCGGGCCAUCACCACCUCUGGUAUUGCUCUUAGGUCUCGUUUGGCAGCUCGGACUACUGACUAUUUCUGUCGGAUAGGAUAAAUAGUCAUCGGAUAGUAUUGACUAAAUUAAUCGGGCGUUUGGUGCAGUAUCGGAUUAAUGACCGUAUUAUUUAUACUGUGUUUGGUAUUAUACCGGAUAAGAGAAAUCAAAUUUAAAAUAAAAUUAAAAAAAAUUGAAAUCAUCUUUUUUUUUUCCGCAAAUCUCUCUGCACCCCCCAAACUCCCUCCCUCUCUCUCAGUCGCAGAUCUCUCUGCACCCCCCCCCACCCCAAAACCCAGUUUGAUGAUUACUGGAAAAGAAAAAGAAUAGAAAAAACAAAGUUGUCAAAUGCAGGAAGAACCCAGCAGCCAUAAACCCAGCAGCCACAAAGUUGUCCCAAAUCUCUCCGUCCCACCCCCAAAAUCGCCCAAAUCCAUCAACAAAAUCAGGGAACAAUUAAGCUAAAAACUCAUAAAAAAACAUCUCCAGUCCUAUAAUUCUCUACAAUUCCUAGAGAAACCCAAUUCAAAAAGUUAGCGUUUUGCAGCUCGAGUUCUGAGAAUUCUGCAGAAAGAAAGAGUUGGGUUGCUAGGAGCGGCGGAGGAGAUGUGGAGGUUCGGGGGUCGGUGUUAUUGGGGAAGGAAGGAGCGGCGGAGCAAUGGGGGGACGAAGGAGGGGGACGAAGUGAGCCAGGAGAGUGCUGCGAGAGAGAGGGGGACGAAGUGAGCGAGAGAGAUGACCCGACUAAAUUAUACGGAGGUUUUGGUUGGGAUAAAUAAGCGGGUAGGAGGAGUAUAAAAUGAGUGGGCCCGGAUUAAAUAAUCCGGUGCUUAUUUAAUACGAAGUUCACCAAACAUCUGUUUCGUACUAUUAAUACUAUCCGGUGGUCUUAUACGGCGUGCCAAACGAGGCCUUAUUGUCCCAAUUGGAUCCCUUUGCUUUCACACCUCUCCGUCAUUUGAAUGGUCGGCACAAAAACAGAGUGUCGUUCACAUUUUAAAUUUCCAUCUUUCUAUAGGACAAGGAUUGUCUGCACUCCAUUUCCGGUGCCCUUCUCGUGCCCUCUUAUUUUGUGUGGUCACGGUUAAGCCACGUCAACAUUUUAUAUUGUUUUUUUUAUAGAUAUAAUAAGACAAAAAUGAAGAGUAAUAUAAAAUGUUGACGUAGCUUAACCGUUAUCACACAAAGAAGAUAGCACAUGAAGGGUACCAGAAAUAAAGGGCAGACAAUCCUUAUUCGUUUCUAUCGCCGUCACAAAACAAAGGCGGAAAGAAAAAGAGUAAAUUAAAGCCGGUCCCCUUAUUUAUUAUAUGUUUCCCACCUCGUACGCUUCUGUAGGGACGAUCUGGGCCGCACCUUUUUGUUUGCUUCUACACGAUGUAAUGAGUGCAACACGAGUAUGCCAUUUUACGACGGACAUCAAUGAAAAAGCGUCGGGUAGAAAAAAUUGAAUAAAUUAAUUAUAAUCUAAGAUUCUAAACUAUUUAUUAACAUAACUAUCAUUCUCAAUAAAAAUAAAAUAAAAUAAAAAACUUUCAUUGUCAAUAAAAAUCUUAGGGGGCGUUUGUUGCGCCGGACUAUCUCGGACUAGACUAGCUUCAAGGACUAAGCUGGAUUGGCUUAGACUAGACUAAGCUGGACUAAUUUAGUGAAGCGUUUGGUGCAGUGUUAGACUAAGAAGCUGGAUAAUAACAAAUUCUAAUAUUAUAUUAUUUAAUAUAUAAAUUAUUAAUAUUUUAUUAUGAUCUAGGUGACCGGAGAUGACGAGGAGUCUAUCGGGAAUGGUUGUUGAGCACGACGAGGACGAGAGAGGAUAGUCUUAGCUAGUCCUAUGGUUAUUGGGGGGUCUCGCUAAGACCUCUUAGUGAAGGGUUUUGUCCAUGCUAAUCCCCUUUAGUCUCAUUAAUGUUAGUCCCAGCAUGGAACAAACACAGUAUUUGACUAACAGUUAGUCCAGUCCAGUCCAGUCCCACUUAGUGAGGGCAAACAAACGCCCCCUUAUAGAAUUAAUGUUCUAACUAUCUAAUCAAAACUGAACAUAAAUAUAAAAACAUAGACAGUAAUGUAAUUUCAUAUAAAACAAAUUAUGCAGUUUUUUAAAGCAUCACCUACAUAUGAUUCUAACAUAACUCUAAUAUUAAAAAAAAAGAACUUUAACAAAAAGCUCCCGAUACUGUUCACUUUAACAAAAAAUCACAUUUUUAUACUAAAAAGUCAAUCCUGAUACUAUUCACUUUAUCUUUUAUUUUGUCUUUAUCUUUAGAACUCAAAGUUUUCAAACUACUUUUAUUAGUUUUCCUAUAAAAAAAACAUUUUCUCCCUUCUCUCUCCAAUUCCACGUUCUCUCUCUCUCUCCUCCUCUCUCCUUCCUUUUUUUUUUUAAAAAAGUCACUUAGUAGUAUUCAUCUUCUAUUGUAAGUGUUAGGUUUUAGGUUCGACUCGCACCAAAUACGAGUUUGAACUAUAUUAUAGUUAGCCUAUUAUGAUGUUAAACCCACAUCUUCCCCUUUAAUGUAAAUAAUAUCGUUUGUUUAAAAAAAAUAUAAAAUAUAAAAAGUUUCACACACUUUGUGUGGCAUAUGGUAGUCACCAUUAAAAUAAGAACUUAAAAAAUGAGUAAAAUUAAAAAUAAAAAAAAACAAAAAAAGUUUGAAAAAAAUCUCUCGUGCCCCAUUCCCCGGCCUUAGUCAAAACUUUUAUCAUGCUUGACAAUUUUUUACACGAUCCGUUAACUCGGCACAAAAAUAACAUAUUCGAGUCAACACGUUAAGAACUCGUUAACAAAUCGGGUUACCAACAUGAUAAGAUAUCGCCAUAUCUAUACAAAAGGCAUGUCAAUUUCAUGCAUGAUUUGUUAACCUGACACGAAACGACGCGGUGUGUUAACGAACCAUGUCAUUGUUGGAUCAUCUAUUAAGAUAAUAAGUUUGAUAUGACACAAUACAUUUAGAUAACAGGCAUGAUAUAAAAACAAAACGAACACAACAAAGCUGAUCUGUUUAACAGAUCUACCCAUCACCAUCCCCUUAUAAAUUAAGGGAGAUAUUGAUAUUUAAAAAAGGGACACCGACUUCCCGUAUUUAUGCCGACAACGGAAUCAAACUUACUUGUUUUUACACUCGAACCAGGUACCAAUUAAUACUGGGAAUUGGAUUGUCUGCCCUCUUUAUCUUAUUCCCUUCCCAUCUUUUUUUAUUUAUGUAGUCACGGUUAAGCUACGUUAAUAUUUUAUAUUCUCAUUGUUUUUUGUCUUAUUAUUUCUAUAAAAAAAUUAAUAUAAAAUGUUAACGUGACUUAACCGUGAGUCCGUGACUACAUAAAUAGGGAAGGAUGGGAAGGGAAUGCGAUGAGGGAGGGCAGCCAAUCCAGGUCCUUAAUAUUGACCAUACAAUAACUUUGUUCUCAACCAGACAUAAUCUGAAUGCUUAUCUUCCCAUCAUUUUCUUGACUACAAAUAGUGAGGAAAGUGCUGGAUGCAAGAAAAAGCUGAGGAGAAAUGGAGAGGAGGGUUCAUGUUGUGGUGCUUCCAUAUCCAAGCCAAGGCCACAUCAACCCUGUCCUCCAGUUUGCAAAACGCCUUGCCUCCAAAGGCGUCAAGGCCACGUUGGCAACCACCACUUACACUCUCAACUCCAUUCAUGUCCAAAACGUUGGAGUCGAGCCCAUCUCUGAUGGGUUCGACGAGGCUGGCUUUGCUCAAGCCGCAGACGAGGACACUUUCCUUCGGUCAUUCAAAACCAACGGCUCAAGAACCCUAUCGCAGCUCCUCCAAAAAUACGAAAGCUCCGAUUUCCCUGUGAACUGUAUUGUGUACGAUUCGUUUUUGCCGUGGGCUCUUGACGUGGCCAAGAAACAUGGCGUCUAUGGAGCCUCGUUCUUUACCAACUCGGCGACUGUGUGCGUCAUUUUUUCGCACAUACAUCGCGGUUUAAUUUCACUGCCGUGUAAGCUCGAGGACAUGCCCUUGUUGGUUCCUGGCCUGCCUCCGCUCAACUUACCUGACCUGCCUAGCUUUCUUAAGAAGCCGGAUAGUAACCCGGCUUACUUGAAGAUGAAGCUGAAUCAGUAUCCUAACUUGGACAAAGCUGAUUGGAUCUUUGCAAACACAUUCGAAGCACUCGAAGGCGAGGUAAGCAAAUACUAGAUAAUUUAACCUAUGUUUCUUGUCAAACGAUUAUGUUAUAUUAUCAUACUGCCAAAUUUUAUCGUUUUAUCGUUAACGGAAAACAACGCAUAUCUUCUCAUCAUACUAUCAACAUUGCGU